AUACGGAGGGUGCAAGCGUUGUUCGGAAUUACUGGGCGUAAAGCGCGCGUAGGCGGUCUGUUAUGUCAGAUGUGAAAGUCCUCGGCUCAACCGGGGAAGUGCAUUUGAAACUGGCAGACUUGAGUACUGGAGGGGGUGGUGGAAUUCCCGGUGUAGAGGUGAAAUUCGUAGAUAUCGGGAGGAAUACCGGUGGCGAAGGCGACCACCUGGCCAGAUACUGACGCUGAGGUGCGAAAGCGUGGGGAGCAAACAGGAUUAGAAACCCCAGUAGUCC
This 274-nucleotide ribosomal RNA is filed under the name uncultured bacterium. Its description in RNAcentral is "partial 16S ribosomal RNA". It matches the Rfam family "Bacterial small subunit ribosomal RNA", at positions 523 to 796 of the family's 1533-position model. The record is from RNAcentral.